RNAcentral lists this ribosomal RNA (200 nucleotides) under uncultured prokaryote. Its description in RNAcentral is "partial 16S ribosomal RNA". It matches the Rfam family "Bacterial small subunit ribosomal RNA", at positions 1182 to 1382 of the family's 1533-position model. The record is from RNAcentral.
AUGUCAAAUCAUCAUGCCCUUUAUGCCCUGGGCUACACACGUACUACAAUGGUCGUAACAGAGGGAAGCAAGAUAGAGAUAUGGAGCAAAACCCUAAAAGCGGUCUCAGUUCGGAUUGAAGGCUGAAAUUCGCCUACAUGAAGCUGGAAUUGCUAGUAAUGGCAGGUCAGCAUACUGCCGUGAAUACGUUCCCGGGCCUU